CAGAUGGUGAUGGUUGUUUCAAGGAAGGAGUGAUGCUGUCACAGCUGUAUGGGGUCUCUGGUUAUACCACCCUGCUGUUUCACAUCAGCCAUGAGGGGAAGACCCCAGCCACAAGAUCCUGAGGCAAACUGCUGCCAGUGCCAGGACAACUGUUCCUCCAGUUUGCCAGCCCAGAUGUGUCCCCUGGCCCUCUGUUCUCAACGGCUCCGAGGGUGCCAUCUGAACCCAGAUGGGAGGAGACGGCCCGAGGAAGGGAAAGUGGAGACAAGAAUCGUGGACCCCUCCUCCCCAAAUCUUCUUGGAAUUCGGCUCUGAGCUCUGUCUCUGGCCAAGCCGAGGACCGCCUGAGACUGUGCGGUCAAGCACAGGCCCGGCAGAGAGAAGCCAUUCAAUAAAGGUCCAGUCUGGGAGUCCUGAUACCUGAUCCUGAUGCCCAUCUCCCCACCUCCCCAUCCCUCGGUCUUUGUACAUUUGCAACUGGCUGAAAUACUCAUCUCCCGAAGGUUAAGGGCAAUUGGGAGCAUCCAGCCUAAGUUUUCAACUGGAAAGAGGGGAGAACGGGGGCAGGGGGAGGUUCUCUGUCUACUGCUGCUUUGUCUAAGGGCUGCAGAGGCCUGGGAAAGGGCAACCCAGCUAUCUCCAGUCCCAGGAAGGGGC
Long non-coding RNA from Dromiciops gliroides (monito del monte), 657 nucleotides. RefSeq lists it as uncharacterized. NCBI's taxonomy places the organism in Eukaryota, Metazoa, Chordata, Mammalia, Microbiotheria, Microbiotheriidae. The transcript has 3 exons. The record is from RefSeq and is a predicted model, not a curated record.